UUGAACGCUGGCGGCAGGCUUAACACAUGCAAGUCGAGCGGAGAGAGGUAGCUUGCUACUGAUCUUAGCGGCGGACGGGUGAGUAAUGCUUAGGAAUCUGCCUAUUAGUGGGGGACAACAUUUCGAAAGGAAUGCUAAUACCGCAUACGUCCUACGGGAGAAAGCAGGGGAUCUUCGGACCUUGCGCUAAUAGAUGAGCCUAAGUCGGAUUAGCUAGUUGGUGGGGUAAAGGCCUACCAAGGCGACGAUCUGUAGCGGGUCUGAGAGGAUGAUCCGCCACACUGGGACUGAGACACGGCCCAGACUCCUACGGGAGGCAGCAGUGGGGAAUAUUGGACAAUGGGCGCAAGCCUGAUCCAGCCAUGCCGCGUGUGUGAAGAAGGCCUUAUGGUUGUAAAGCACUUUAAGCGAGGAGGAGGCUACUUUAGUUAAUACCUAGAGAUAGUGGACGUUACUCGCAGAAUAAGCACCGGCUAACUCUGUGCCAGCAGCCGCGGUAAUACAGAGGGUGCAAGCGUUAAUCGGAUUUACUGGGCGUAAAGCGCGCGUAGGCGGCUAAUUAAGUCAAAUGUGAAAUCCCCGAGCUUAACUUGGGAAUUGCAUUCGAUACUGGUUAGCUAGAGUGUGGGAGAGGAUGGUAGAAUUCCAGGUGUAGCGGUGAAAUGCGUAGAGAUCUGGAGGAAUACCGAUGGCGAAGGCAGCCAUCUGGCCUAACACUGACGCUGAGGUGCGAAAGCAUGGGGAGCAAACAGGAUUAGAUACCCUGGUAGUCCAUGCCGUAAACGAUGUCUACUAGCCG
This 799-nucleotide ribosomal RNA is filed under the name Acinetobacter rhizosphaerae. RNAcentral describes it as "bacterial SSU rRNA". It matches the Rfam family "Bacterial small subunit ribosomal RNA", at positions 29 to 822 of the family's 1533-position model. The record is from RNAcentral. Lineage: Bacteria; Pseudomonadati; Pseudomonadota; Gammaproteobacteria; Moraxellales; Moraxellaceae.